CCGCGAACGUUCUCGCGUUCACUCAAGCGUCACGUAAUCAACACAUUAUCCACCCGUGCGCUCGCCUAAUCCUCUCGCAAGCGUGUCGCGGCGACGCGAUCGUUUCUCGAGACAGCGACGGCUUAACGGAACGUGUCGCUGAGUGGGUGAGUGGGUCGGCACGUCGGUCGGCACUCGUUGGCACGCGAUUAAUUAGCAAAUUACAGUCGCGAUUAAUCCCGUGUUGUAACAUAUCAACCGCGUAGCGUAAAUUCGUAGCGCGUCUCGGAUCGAUACGCUGUGAGAUUCAUUCGUUUUGUAUAUCCAUCGCGCGCGAGCCCGCGAGCGGCCGACAAAGCUGACAUAACCGUGUUUUCGCGAGUGCGUGACGUAUGAGUGCCGAGACUGCCGAGCAAGCGACAACUCGGAGGAGCCUGAGAGGAGGAAGCGGCUUAGGAAGCAUCGGGCGACAGCGGAGCAUCCACGGGAUCAACCAGGUUACAACGUAGUUACAACUCCGCUGCUGCGCAUCGUAUCGG
This is a long non-coding RNA of Temnothorax curvispinosus, 518 nucleotides long. RefSeq lists it as uncharacterized. The record is from RefSeq and is a predicted model, not a curated record. The transcript has 3 exons. Lineage: Eukaryota; Metazoa; Arthropoda; Insecta; Hymenoptera; Formicidae.